UCCCUACGGGGGGCUGCAGUGGGGAAUCUUGCACAAUGGGCGACAGCCUGAUGCAGCAAUGCCGCGUGAGGGAAGACGGCCUUCGGGUUGUAAACCUCUUUCAGUUGGGAAGAAGGUCGGACGGUGAAUAGCCGCGUCGACUGACGGUACCUUCAGAAGAAGCCCCGGCUAACUACGUGCCAGCAGCCGCGGUAAUACGUAGGGGGCAAGCGUUGUCCGGAAUCAUUGGGCGUAAAGCGCGUGUAGGCGGUUACGUAAGUCUGCUGUGAAAGUCGGAGGCUCAACCUUCGAAAGCCGGUGGAUACUGCGUGACUAGAGUCCGGAAGAGGAGAGUGGAAUUCCUGGUGUAGCGGUGAAAUGCGCAGAUAUCAGGAGGAACACCAACGGCGAAGGCAGCUCUCUGGGACGGUACUGACGCUGAGACGCGAAAGCGUGGGGAGCAAACAGGAUUAGAUACCCGGGUAGUCCAA
This 470-nucleotide ribosomal RNA is filed under the name uncultured Solirubrobacterales bacterium. RNAcentral's name for it is "bacterial SSU rRNA". It matches the Rfam family "Bacterial small subunit ribosomal RNA", at positions 335 to 798 of the family's 1533-position model. Lineage: Bacteria; Bacillati; Actinomycetota; Thermoleophilia; Solirubrobacterales. The record is from RNAcentral.